GAUGAACGCUGGCGGCGUGCCUAACACAUGCAAGUCGAACGGAGCUGUCGGAGCUUGCUUUGACAGCUUAGUGGCGAACGGGUGAGUAACGCGUGAGCAACCUGCCCUUGAGAGGGGGAUAACAUCGGGAAACCGAUGCUAAUACCGCAUAAAAUAUGCAGAUGGCAUCAUUGGCAUAUCAAAAGGAGAAAUCCGCUCAAGGAUGGGCUCGCGUCUGAUUAGAUAGUUGGUGAGGUAACGGCCCACCAAGUCGACGAUCAGUAGCCGGACUGAGAGGUUGACCGGCCACAUUGGGACUGAGACACGGCCCAGACUCCUACGGGAGGCAGCAGUGGGGAAUAUUGCACAAUGGGCGAAAGCCUGAUGCAGCGACGCCGCGUGAGGGAUGACGGCCUUCGGGUUCGGUAAACCUCGUUUCAGUCAAGGGAGAAGCGAAAGUGACGGUACCUAGCAGAAGAAGACGACCGGACUAACUACGUAGCCAGACCG
This 489-nucleotide ribosomal RNA is filed under the name uncultured bacterium. RNAcentral describes it as "partial 16S ribosomal RNA". It matches the Rfam family "Bacterial small subunit ribosomal RNA", at positions 28 to 519 of the family's 1533-position model. The record is from RNAcentral.